RNAcentral lists this ribosomal RNA (497 nucleotides) under uncultured bacterium. Its description in RNAcentral is "partial 16S ribosomal RNA". It matches the Rfam family "Bacterial small subunit ribosomal RNA", at positions 28 to 507 of the family's 1533-position model. The record is from RNAcentral.
GAUGAACGCUGGCGGCGUGCCUAAUACAUGCAAGUCGAGCGAACAGACGAGGAGCUUGCUCCUCUGACGUUAGCGGCGGACGGGUGAGUAACACGUGGAUAACCUACCUAUAAGACUGGGAUAACUUCGGGAAACCGGAGCUAAUACCGGAUAAUAUAUUGAACCGCAUGGUUCAAUAGUGAAAGACGGUUUUGCUGUCACUUAUAGAUGGAUCCGCGCCGCAUUAGCUAGUUGGUAAGGUAACGGCUUACCAAGACAACGAUGCGUAGCCGACCUGAGAGGGUGAUCGGCCACACUGGAACUGAGACACGGUCCAGACUCCUACGGGAGGCAGCAGUAGGGAAUCUUCCGCAAAGGGCGAAAGCCUGACGGAGCAACGCCGCGUGAGUGAUGAAGGUCUUCGGAUCGUAAAACUCUGUUAUUAGGGAAGAACAAAUGUGUAAGUAACUAUGCACGUCUUGACGGUACCUAAUCAGAAAGCCACGGCUAACUACGUG